AGUGAACGCUGGCGGCAGGCCUAAUACAUGCAAGUCGAACGGCAGCACAGCAGAGCUUGCUCUGUGGGUGGCGAGUGGCGGACGGGUGAGGAAUACGUGGGAAUCUGCCCAGUCGUGGGGGAUAACGUAGGGAAACUUACGCUAAUACCGCAUGCGCCCUUCGGGGGAAAGCCGGGGACCUUCGGGCCUGGCGCGAUUGGAUGAGCCCACGUCGGAUUAGCUAGUUGGCGGGGUAAAGGCCACCAAGGCGACGAUCCGUAGCUGGUCUGAGAGGAUGAUCAGCCACACUGGAACUGAGACACGGUCCAGACUCCUACGGGAGGCAGCAGUAGGGAAUAUUGGACAAUGGGCGCAAGCCUGAUCCAGCCAUGCCGCGUGAGUGAAGAAGGCCCUCGGGUUGUAAAGCUCUUUUGUCCGGAAAGAAAGCGCCGGGUU
Molecule: ribosomal RNA, 435 nt
Filed under: uncultured bacterium
Lineage: Bacteria
Description: bacterial SSU rRNA
Rfam family: Bacterial small subunit ribosomal RNA
Source: RNAcentral